RNA transcript from Tripterygium wilfordii, 2230 nucleotides. It is a transcript of the gene named polyadenylate-binding protein-interacting protein 10-like, with no coding region annotated. The record is from RefSeq and is a predicted model, not a curated record. NCBI's taxonomy places the organism in Eukaryota, Viridiplantae, Streptophyta, Magnoliopsida, Celastrales, Celastraceae. The transcript has 13 exons.
AUGUAAUCGUGAGAACUGCUCCACAUACGGACGAUCCAAACAACCCUCCCUCUCUUAAAGUCCCUCUUUUCUUAUCCUGCAAUACAAAAUUAAUUGAAAGAAAAUUUUUAAAAAAUAAGCAGACAAGGCUUUGGUCACUGUUUGUCAUCUCUCAAUUUGCACUCACCUCUUUUAUUUUCUCUCGUCUGCAAUACCACACUGACGAUUCUGAGCUAGGUUUGGCUUUUGUAUUUAAUGGAGGAAACGGUUUAAGAUAAGGGAGAAAAAAGUGAAAAACUUGGUUGGUUAAGAGUCUGAGCGAAGGAAGGCGAAAGGCGAUCUCCUGAGAGUUUGAUCAUGGCGGUUGCUGAAAAUGCUGGUGCCAAAAUCGGGUCCUCCAAUGAGAAUUUGGACAACAAUGUAGUAUCAUCGGACUCAAAUGCGCCAAACCAUCUUGAAAACCCAAAACCCAGAAGCGAUGCCUCGGUCAAGAGUACCAAAGACUCGAGCUUGCAUGUUCAAAACAAUGAUCGGAAUUCGAACGGGAACUCUCAUCUCCGAGAGAGCACCGUCUCAGUGACAGCAAGCAAUGGCGGCAUUCAGAAGACUCAGAUGCAGAACGGGCAUGGGACCGCAAAUCAGAGGGCUAAUGGUGUGAAGGAGGUGGAAAAUGGGGAUGUCGAGAGUUUUAAGGGCGAUAUGAGCGAUUUGGUUGAAAUUUUGUCGAAGUUGAAUCCCAUGGCUCAAGAAUUCGUUCCCCAUUCGCUGGCAAACAAUCAUCGUUGUCUGGGUGGCACUGGCUUUGGCUACUCUAACAAUUUUGUUGUUCAGCCUAAUUCCGGUGGCAACAAGGGCCACCCUAAUGGAAGGAGGAGGAAUUACAAUGGUCUAGGUAAGCCCAGGAUGAAUCCUAGAACAAGUAGUGCACAGAGGGAGGAAGUAAUAAGGAGAACCGUAUAUGUAUCAGACAUUGAUCAACAAGUCACUGAAGAGCAUCUUGCAAGUCUUUUCCUUAACUGUGGACUGGUCAUUGAUUGUCGUAUCUGUGGGGAUCCUAAUUCUGUUCUUCGCUUUGCCUUCAUUGAGUUCACUGAUGAAGAAGGUGCAAGGGCUGCCUUAACUUUGUCUGGGACUAUGCUUGGAUACUACCCAGUGAGAGUGCUGCCCUCCAAAACUGCAAUUGCUCCUGUUAACCCGACAUUUUUGCCAAGGUCUGAAGAUGAAUGUGAGAUGUGCUCAAGAACCUUGUAUUGUGCAAAUAUUGACAAGAAGGUCACACAAGCAAAUGUCAAACUCUUUUUUGAAUCACUUUGUGGAGAGGUUCAUCGAUUGAGGUUGCUUGGAGACUAUAAUCAUUCAACUCGUAUUGCCUUUGUUGAGUUCACAGCGGCUGAAAGUGCAACUGCAGCUCUUAACUGCAGCGGUGCAAUUCUGGGAUCAUUGCCCAUAAGGGUUAGCCCAUCGAAGACACCAGUGAGGCCCUGUGCUCCUCCUUGCAGUCCAAUGCACUGAAUCUCCUCGCAUGCCUCCUGGACUGAUCAACUGCUGAAUUAUAUAUUUACUCAUACAUAUAUAGAUACAGAGACUUUUUUUAAGGUUGCAUGGAGACCAUUUGAUUGAUGUUGCUGUAGUCAUUGAUCUCGCGUGGUUAGAUUCUUGUUAACUGACCAAUAGAUAUAUAGACUCCUUUCCCUGUUUCAUGAGAAAAUUGAGCCAUACUCAAAGCAUUUGCAUAUAAAUUUUAUGAAGCUUGUUAUGACCUUUUUUCUUCCGAAGCUGGGGUUUAUACUGAAAGCAUUCUUUGCUGUAUCUGAAUGCGCUAGUUCCUGUUAUUUCAUGGAUGUUUGCAAAAUCUUUCAAGGUGCAUAGGUCAUCGAGAAUUUGCUUUUGCUGUUUAUUGGAUUCUCAAAAUAUAACUUAAAAAUGUUGGAUUUUGAAGUUUGAGAAAUGAAAUGGAUAGGUACAUAUUUUUGCACACACUCUCAUGGCUCUUAGAAAUUAUGAGAAAAUAAAAGAAAAGUAUUUUAAGAAGGCCAAAAUCUAUCUAAAAAUGCCUUGGCAAAAAAAGUCUCGACUAUAAAAACGAAAAAUUUAUAGUCUGUGUAGUGCAAAAAUGAAAGUGAUCUUCUAAAGAAAUCAGAGACAGAUUGGUUGUGAUGAUUUCUGGCUAAAAGCAUGCUGAUGAUUUCUGUUCUGAGGCAGAUUAACUAUUGUUUCAGGCAUUGGUUCUCAGUCUGGUCUGGUGGUCUGG